AAAUUGAAGAGUUUGAUCAUGGCUCAGAUUGAACGCUGGCGGCAGGCCUAACACAUGCAAGUCGAGCGGUAACACAGAGAGCUUGCUCUCGGGUGACGAGCGGCGGACGGGUGAGUAAUGUCUGGGAAACUGCCUGAUGGAGGGGGAUAACUACUGGAAACGGUAGCUAAUACCGCAUAACGUCGCAAGACCAAAGUGGGGGACCUUCGGGCCUCAUGCCAUCAGAUGUGCCCAGAUGGGAUUAGCUAGUAGGUGGGGUAAUGGCUCACCUAGGCGACGAUCCCUAGCUGGUCUGAGAGGAUGACCAGCCACACUGGAACUGAGACACGGUCCAGACUCCUACGGGAGGCAGCAGUGGGGAAUAUUGCACAAUGGGCGCAAGCCUGAUGCAGCCAUGCCGCGUGUAUGAAGAAGGCCUUCGGGUUGUAAAGUACUUUCAGCGAGGAGGAAGGCGUUAAGGUUAAUAACCUUGGCGAUUGACGUUACUCGCAGAAGAAGCACCGGCUAACUCCGUGCCAGCAGCCGCGGUAAUACGGAGGGUGCAAGCGUUAAUCGGAAUUACUGGGCGUAAAGCGCACGCAGGCGGUCUGUCAAGUCGGAUGUGAAAUCCCCGGGCUCAACCUGGGAACUGCAUUCGAAACUGGCAGGCUAGAGUCUUGUAGAGGGGGGUAGAAUUCCAGGUGUAGCGGUGAAAUGCGUAGAGAUCUGGAGGAAUACCGGUGGCGAAGGCGGCCCCCUGGACAAAGACUGACGCUCAGGUGCGAAAGCGUGGGGAGCAAACAGGAUUAGAUACCCUGGUAGUCCACGCCGUAAACGAUGUCGACUUGGAGGUUGUGCCCUUGAGGCGUGGCUUCCGGAGCUAACGCGUUAAGUCGACCGCCUGGGGAGUACGGCCGCAAGGUUAAAACUCAAAUGAAUUGACGGGGGCCCGCACAAGCGGUGGAGCAUGUGGUUUAAUUCGAUGCAACGCGAAGAACCUUACCUGGUCUUGACAUCCACAGAACUUUCCAGAGAUGGAUUGGUGCCUUCGGGAACUGUGAGACAGGUGCUGCAUGGCUGUCGUCAGCUCGUGUUGUGAAAUGUUGGGUUAAGUCCCGCAACGAGCGCAACCCUUAUCCUUUGUUGCCAGCGGUCCGGCCGGGAACUCAAAGGAGACUGCCAGUGAUAAACUGGAGGAAGGUGGGGAUGACGUCAAGUCAUCAUGGCCCUUACGACCAGGGCUACACACGUGCUACAAUGGCAUAUACAAAGAGAAGCGACCUCGCGAGAGCAAGCGGACCUCAUAAAGUAUGUCGUAGUCCGGAUUGGAGUCUGCAACUCGACUCCAUGAAGUCGGAAUCGCUAGUAAUCGUAGAUCAGAAUGCUACGGUGAAUACGUUCCCGGGCCUUGUACACACCGCCCGUCACACCAUGGGAGUGGGUUGCAAAAGAAGUAGGUAGCUUAACCUUCGGGAGGGCGCUUACCACUUUGUGAUUCAUGACUGGGGUGAAGUCGUAACAAGGUAACCGUAGGGGAACCUGCGGUUGGAUCACCUCCUUA
Molecule: ribosomal RNA, 1540 nt
Filed under: Klebsiella aerogenes
Lineage: Bacteria; Pseudomonadati; Pseudomonadota; Gammaproteobacteria; Enterobacterales; Enterobacteriaceae
Description: bacterial SSU rRNA
Rfam family: Bacterial small subunit ribosomal RNA
Source: RNAcentral